UACGUAGGGGGCGAGCGUUGUCCGGAAUCAUUGGGCGUAAAGAGCUCGUAGGCGGUUGCGAAAGUCAGGUGUGAAAACCCGGGGCUCAACCCCGGGACUGCAUUUGAUACUUCGCUGACUAGAGUCCGGUAGAGGAAGGCGGAAUUCCUGGUGUAGCGGUGGAAUGCACAGAUAUCAGGAGGAACACCGGUGGCGAAGGCGGCCUUCUGGGCCGGUACUGACGCUGAGGAGCGAAAGCUAGGGGAGCGAA
This 250-nucleotide ribosomal RNA is filed under the name uncultured bacterium. Its description in RNAcentral is "partial 16S ribosomal RNA". It matches the Rfam family "Bacterial small subunit ribosomal RNA", at positions 524 to 772 of the family's 1533-position model. The record is from RNAcentral.